Molecule: long non-coding RNA, 4916 nt
Filed under: Sus scrofa (pig)
Lineage: Eukaryota; Metazoa; Chordata; Mammalia; Artiodactyla; Suidae
Description: lncRNA (ENSSSCG00030005662.1)
Source: RNAcentral
UACUGGAACAUACUUGGUGUAUUCAAGGAGCAACAGGAAGGCCACUAGGGUUGGAGAGUCAAUGUAUAAAAAUUUAAUAAUAAAAAUACAUGUGUCAUAGUGAAAUAAGCCAGACAGAGAUUUCAAAUAGGGUUUGAGAAAGGAUGAGCCUUGGAAGAUAGAUUUGUGUUUGAAUCCCAGUUCUGUACCUUACUUGCUCUGUAGCCAUAAGACUGAGAUUUGACUUCUUCAAAUAUAAAAUAGGAAUUAUAACAUUUUGUAAUAAUAUUACUUUGAGGAUUGAAAUAGAAGAAUAUGCAUUUAUGUUCUGUAGAUUCAUUAUUAUGUGUCUGACAGUGGAUUUGUCUUUAUUUGUCUUUCUCAGGACUCAAUAUUCUCUGAAGACAUUUUUUUUCAAUUAAAUUCUCAUACAUUAGUUCUUUGAAUCAUGUCUCUUGCCUCUUCUUGCCAUUUUCUCAAUUUCGGUCAGGAUGGGCUAUGUUAUGCUGUCAAACAAACAACUCCAAUAUCUCUAUGGCUUAAAAAGCAGGGUUUAUUUCUCAUACCUGCCUCAUGUCCACUGGGUUAACUGGUGGUCUGUGUUCUGUGUGUCCUUACUCUGAGACCCACUUGAUAGAACAACCACGACCUGGGAUGCUGCUGGUUGCCUUGGCAGAAGAGGAAGAAAAAUAAUGUGAUGAACUGGGUAUUAAGUCUUAAGUCAGCCUCCCAGAAGAAUCAUGUAUUACUUCCAUUCACUUUGCACUGGCUAAAGUAAGUCAAAUGGCCACACCUAACUUCCAGGUGGUAGGAAAAUGCAGUUAUUAUGUGUGUCCAGGAGAAGAACAUAAAAUAUUUGGAAGUCAGCACUGACGACUACCACAUACAGAGUUCUCCUUCUGGAACCCUCCUAAAUGUACAUUGGAUUCUCUAAUUCUACUUUCCAUGUCUCUUAACUUAUCUUUCACAUUAUCCCUUUAUAUCUUUCUCAGCUGAAUUUCUUUACAUAAUUCAUGAAUUAUCUCUUCAGCCAUAUCUAGACAACUAUUCAACCCAGCCACUGAGUUUCAAUUUUUAAAAACUGCCUUUUUUAUACAAACAGCUCAUACAACUUGAUAACAAAAAAAUAAUCUAAUAAAAACAUGGGCAGAGGACCUAGACAUUUCUCCAAAGAAGACAUACAGAUGGCCAAGAGGCACAGGAAAAGAUGCUCAACAUCACUAAUUACUAGAGAAAUGCAAAUCAAAACUAUGAGGAGAUCAGAAUGGCCAUCAUCAAAAAGUCUACAAACAAUAAAUGCUGGAGAGGGUAUGGAGAAAAGGGAACCCUUCUACACUGUUGAUGAGAAUGUAAAUUGGUGCAGCCACUGUGGAAAACCGUAUAGUGGUUUCUGAAAAAACUAAUAGAGUUGUUCCAUGAUCUAGUAGUGCCACUCCUGGGCAUAUAUCUGGAAAAUAUGAAACUUUAACUUGAAAAGAUACAUGCACCCCAAUGUUUAUUGCAGCACUAUUUACAAUAGCCAAGACAUGGAAGCAACCUUAAAAUCCACCAACAGAUGAAUGGAUAAAGAAGUGGUAUAUGUAUACAAUAGAACACUACUCGGACCUAAAAAAGAAUGAAAUAAUGCCAUUUACAGCAACAUGGAUGGACCUAGAGAUUAUCAUACUAAGUAAAAUAAGUCAGACAGAGAAAGGCAAAUCCCAUAUGAUAGCACUUACAUGUGGAAUCUAAAGUAUGAUACAAAUGAAUUUAUUUAUAAAACAGAAACAGAUUCACAGAUUUUGAAAACAAACUUAUGGUUACCUAAAGGGGAACAAGGGUAGAGGGGGGAUAAAUUAGGAGUUUGGGAUUAGUAGAUACAAAAUAGUAUAUAUAAAAUAGAUAAACAACAAGGACCUACUUAUAGCACAGGGAAUUAUAUUCACUAUCCUGUAAUAAACCAUAAUGAAAAAGAAUAUACAUAUAUACAAUUAUGUAUAUACAUUAUAUAUAUAAUUGAAUCAAUUUGCUAUACACCAGAAACUAACCCAACAUUGUAAAUCAACUAUACUUCAAUAAAAAUUUUUAAACUGUUUAUUUCUAGAAUUUUUUCCAAUUCACCUGAUUUUUUAAAAUAUACUGUCCCUUUUUGCCUAAUGGAGUCUAUUCCUUCAUUUAUACUUGUAAGCAUUUUUAAGUUUCUUUCAGAUUGACCUAUUAUUUCAGUUCUAGGAGUACAAAUCCCUUAGUGAAUUAUAUCUGCUGACUUUCUAUUGCAUCAUCAUUCUGAUUUCAGACCCUUCUGCAUUUCUAGCGCCUGGAGAUCCUUCUUACUCAAUUUGAGCUUUGUAAUUUAUUUAAGGAAAAAAAUAGUUUAUUAUAUUUUAAGCAGUCUUUUCUAUGUGCAUGGGCUUGGAAAUAGGGCUCUUUUAAAUUACUUUCAUUAUCUGUAUGGACCAGAAUUUCCUAAACAUUUUAAAGUGAAUAGCCUUUAAAUGCAUGCGUCCAAUAAGAUGAUAGCUAAUAGGUUAUGAAGAGUCAAGAAAGAUCUUUUUUAAAGAGGGGAGACUGAGCAUAUACAUUUGCACAAAUAAAGAAACCAUGGACAGGAGAGAAGUUGCCACUAUGGAAAUGGAAAUGAUUUUGUAGAGACAAGACUAGAAUCAAGAAUGGAAGAUCUUAGGAUUUGGAGCACAGGUAGAGGGAUUAGCUUUGAACAAGAGUGACUUCACCUCUUCCGUAGAAACAGGAAAGCAGGAAAGAAAGAGUAUGGGUUUAAGUUGUUGGGGAGAGUCUGGAAAUUGAGGCCAGAUACCUCUAUUUUUCUCUGAGUUUGGAUGUAAGGUGAGCAACGGAGAUGGAAGCCAGGGGAGGGUUGAAGUUUGCAGUAUCAGCUGUGACGAAUAGGAGAGUGAGUCAAAUAUGCAUCCAUAAAGGCCAAGCUCAGGUUGGAAACCAUGCAUUCGUAAUGCCACCAACACAGUGGCUAGGUAGUAUAUUUAGGGCAGGGUGCCGCCCUAAACUGCCCACGUCUAGGAGUAGAGAACUAUGUGAUUGGGUUGGGAGAGGGUUAGAGUUUGCAAGGCAGUUGUAGAUAAAAGAUAAUGAGAUAAGUGUACAGAGGAUGGGAAGCUGAGUAGAUGAAAUGAUGAAGUAUAGAAGAUGAGCUGACCAUGACCUUAAACCCAUUCUUGAGUAGGAACACGAAGAUGGAACAAACUGGACCACGGCUCAUGGCAGCACCCCAGUGGCACAUUCAGACCUCUGGAAACGGCAGCAUCACUCAGGAUGCCAUGCUGCUGCCGUGAGCAGGUUUUCUUCCUGUCCCUUAGGUAACCAUUGCCCUGGCAUCGAGAUGACAAAUAUGUUCUGUUUUUGCUUUUGCUAAUCUUGAUCCAUAGAUUCAUUGUCUCCAUAAGUCUCUAAAUUCCCCGAGCAUGAGGUUGGUGUGGCCAGUAUUCACCCCACUGGGCAAAAUCCUUGUACCAGGCCAUUUCAUAGGCCUUUGACACUUGGAUCAGGUGUCCAGCCUUGGCCCAAUCAGCUGAGGCCAGGGUGAUGAGGCCAUAUGGCAGGCAUGUGCUUGAUCCAUAAGGGACCGUUCAAAAAGGUCUAAGACUUUCUACAAUUCUUUCCAGAAGGAAUAAAACUGCAGGCAGGACUGUUCUCAUAAACACUGGAAUAGCAUUUCUCCUCCUAGACUUUGUGAUAGAUCUCUAUCCAUUUCUCUCUUCUCUCUAAUUUGGGGAGCUGGACACAGUUCAAAAAAUUCCGUAUAUAGAGCACCUAAUUUUUAUUGUAGAAUCUUCCAAAGUGUGAUAAAAUGGUUUCCAUUUCAAGGUGGGAUUUUUUAUCACUUAAUACAAAGCACUCUGGCCGUGUCUACCCAUUUAUAUUACCUAGAGCAGGGCUCCACAAACCUUUUCUGUAAGGGAUCAGAUAGUAACUAUUUUAAGUUUUCUUUUUUUUUGGUCUUUUUGCCAUUUCUUGGGCCGUUCCCACGGCAUAUGGAAGUUCCCAGGCUAGGGGUCGAAUCAGAGCUGUAGCCGCCGGCCUACACCACAGCCACAGCAACGUGGGAUCCUUGAGCCACGUCUGCGACCUGCACCACAGCUCACGGCAACGCCGGAUCGUUAACCCACUGAGCAAGGCCAGGGGCUGAACCCGCAACCUCAUGGUUCCUAGUCGGAUUCAUUAACCACUGCGCCACGACAAGAACGCCCAUAUUUUAGGUUUUCUAUCACAACCAUUCAAUUCCCUCAUUGUAGGACUAAAGCAGUUGUAGACAAUAUGUAAAUCGAUGAGUAUGGCUGUGUUCCAGUAAAACUUUAUUUAUAAAGGCAGACAGCAGGCUGGACUAGGCCCAAGGCUGUAGUUGACCAAUUCCUGAUGUGGAGGAUAAUUAUUUAUGAUUUCUGCUGUUUGGCUGCGUAAGGGCUGAUCCUCACAAUAGCAGUGGGUUUUCUUGUAAAUGGCAUGGAGUUUCACUGUUCAAUUGACUUUCCUUAUAUAGAUAAAGUCAUACAAUAAUAAAUAAUUGAAGGUCACCACAUCACACAACUUGGGACUAUAUGCAGCAGCACUGGAAGUAUUGAGAGAGAUUUUUCUUCAGUUCCAGUGGGAGACCAGAUUAAGGCAAAGGAAUAGGUAGUGUGUUCAUUCAAUCAUCCAUUCAACAUAUUGGCUCAGACACUGUGGCUACUGCCAGAGAUGCAUAAAUAAAUCAAACAUGGUCCUUGUCCUCAAGGAACUUGUGGUUGAGUAAGGUGUUGCUAGAACUGCCAUAACAAGUACCACAAAGUGAGUGGCUUUUAAAAAAAAUGUAUUGGAGUUCCUGUUGUGGUGCAAUAGUGUCUCUGGAGCACAGAGGUACAGGUUCAAACCCAGGCCUUGCACAGUGGGUUAAGGAUCCAGCAUUGCUACAGCUGUGGCUUAGGUGGCCACUGUGGCUCAGAUCU